ACCUCAUGAUUGGGACAUUGAGUAACCUUCCCAUUGAAUCUUUCCCAAACCUUGUACAAGGGUUCACUAUUCAGUUGCCUAAAGUUAGUGAUUUUAUCACAUAAUUAU
Molecule: non-coding RNA, 108 nt
Organism: Capsicum annuum
Lineage: Eukaryota; Viridiplantae; Streptophyta; Magnoliopsida; Solanales; Solanaceae
Source: Rfam